UACGAAGGGGACUAGCGUUGUUCGGAAUCACUGGGCGUAAAGCGCACGUAGGCGGAUAUGUCAGUCAGGGGUGAAAUCCCGGGGCUCAACCUCGGAACUGCCCUUGAUACAGCAUAUCUUGAGUCCGGUAGAGGUGGGUGGAAUUCCUAGUGUAGAGGUGAAAUUCGUAGAUAUUAGGAAGAACACCGGUGGCGAAGGCGGCCCACUGGAUCGGUACUGACGCUGAGGUGCGAAAGCGUGGGGAGCAAACAGG
Molecule: ribosomal RNA, 253 nt
Filed under: uncultured bacterium
Lineage: Bacteria
Description: partial 16S ribosomal RNA
Rfam family: Bacterial small subunit ribosomal RNA
Source: RNAcentral